ACAGCAGCAGCCGCGGUAAUACGUAGGUGGCAAGCGUUGUCCGGAAUUAUUGGGCGUAAAGCGCGCGCAGGUGGUUUAAUAAGUCUGAUGUGAAAGCCCACGGCUCAACCGUGGAGGGUCAUUGGAAACUGUUAAACUUGAAUGCAGGAGAGAAAAGUGGAAUUCCUAGUGUAGCGGUGAAAUGCGUAGAGAUUAGGAGGAACACCAGUGGCGAAGGCGGCUUUUUGGCCUGUAACUGACACUGAGGCGCGAAAGCGUGGGGAGCGAACGGGAUUAGAGACCCCUGUAGUCCCUGUCUCUUAUAA
Molecule: ribosomal RNA, 305 nt
Filed under: uncultured bacterium
Lineage: Bacteria
Description: partial 16S ribosomal RNA
Rfam family: Bacterial small subunit ribosomal RNA
Source: RNAcentral